This 533-nucleotide ribosomal RNA is filed under the name uncultured archaeon. RNAcentral describes it as "bacterial SSU rRNA". It matches the Rfam family "Archaeal small subunit ribosomal RNA", at positions 342 to 879 of the family's 1478-position model. The record is from RNAcentral.
CGAAAACUUUACCAUGCGGGAAACCGUGAUAGGGGAACUCUGAGUGCCCGUAAAAUCGGGCUGUCCAUUUGUUUAAAUAACAGGUGAAGAAAGGGCCGGGCAAGACCGGUGCCAGCCGCCGCGGUAAUACCGGCGGCUCGAGUGGUGGCCACUAUUACUGGGCUUAAAGCGUUCGUAGCUGGUUUGUUAAGUCUCUGGGGAAAUCUUCCGGCUCAACCGGAAGGCGUCUCAGGGAUACUGGCAGACUUGGGACCGGGAGAGGUGAGAGGUACUCCAGGGGUAGGAGUGAAAUCCUGUAAUCCUUGGGGGACCACCUGUGGCGAAGGCGUCUCACCAGAACGGCUCCGACAGUGAGGGACGAAAGCUGGGGGAGCAAACCGGAUUAGAUACCCGGGUAGUCCCAGCUGUAAACGAUGCACGUUAGGUGUAUCGGUGACCACGAGUCACCGAGGUGCCGAAGAGAAAUCGUGAAACGUGCCGCCUGGGAAGUACGGUCGCAAGGCUGAAACUUAAAGGAAUUGGCGGGGGAGCAC